Long non-coding RNA from Papaver somniferum (opium poppy), 315 nucleotides. RefSeq lists it as uncharacterized. NCBI's taxonomy places the organism in Eukaryota, Viridiplantae, Streptophyta, Magnoliopsida, Ranunculales, Papaveraceae. The transcript is spliced from 3 exons. The record is from RefSeq and is a predicted model, not a curated record.
UUGCAGUUGAUGAUAUGUUGAGAAAAAGAUCUAGGGUUUCCACUUGAUGGGUAAGAAACGAAACACGAGAAAGUUUGAUGGAGAAGUUAUCAGAGAAUUUUCCUUCUCUACUGACAGUUGGUUUGGCCUCAAGAUGGAAGUUGGAUUUUUAAUGAGAUUGUUUGAAAGAGAGUUAGCAUGAGAAAAUACAAGCUAUGUCUUCGGGUAUAAGGGCGUUCAUAUCUAUCUCAUGGAUUCGACUUCGAUUACAUCAACUCUUCUUAUUCGACUUUGAUUAGAUGAUGAAGUUAAAUCAAAUGAUUCCAACCAAAGUUA